CCUACGGGGUGCUGCAGUGAGGAAUAUUGGUCAAUGGACGGAAGUCUGAACCAGCCAUGCCGCGUGCAGGAAGACGGCUCUAUGAGUUGUAAACUGCUUUUGUACAAGGGUAAACCUGAAUACGUGUAUUCAGCUGAAAGUACUUUACGAAUAAGCAUCGGCUAACUCCGUGCCAGCAGCCGCGGUAAUACGGAGGAUCCAAGCGUUAUCCGGAUUUAUUGGGUUUAAAGGGUGCGUAGGCGGAAUGAGAAGUUAGGGUGAAAUGUCCGAGCUUAACUCGGGAAGUGCCUCUAAUACUGUUGUUCUAGAGAGUAGGUGCGGUAGGCGGAAUGUAUGGUGUAGCGGUGAAAUGCUUAGAGAUCAUACAGAACACCGAUUGCGAAGGCAGCUUACCAAUCUAUAUCUGACGUUGAGGCACGAAAGCGUGGGGAGCAAACAGGAUUAGAUACCCUUGUAGUC
This 459-nucleotide ribosomal RNA is filed under the name uncultured bacterium. RNAcentral describes it as "partial 16S ribosomal RNA". It matches the Rfam family "Bacterial small subunit ribosomal RNA", at positions 338 to 795 of the family's 1533-position model. The record is from RNAcentral.